This 380-nucleotide ribosomal RNA is filed under the name uncultured eukaryote. Its description in RNAcentral is "partial 18S ribosomal RNA". It matches the Rfam family "Eukaryotic small subunit ribosomal RNA", at positions 592 to 976 of the family's 1831-position model. The record is from RNAcentral.
CAAUAGCGUAUAUUAAAGUUGUUGCGGUUAAAAAGCUCGUAGUUGGAUUUCUGUUGGGAACGACCGGUCCGCCCAUUGGGUGUGUAUCUGGCUUGUUCUCGGCAUCUUCUUGGUGAACGUUGCUGCACUUGACUGUGUGGAGCGCUACCCAGGACUUUUACUUUGAGGAAAUUAGAGUGUUUCAAGCAGGCAUAUGCCUUGAAUACAUUAGCAUGGAAUAAUAAGAUAGGACCUCGGUUCUAUUUUGUUGGUUUCUAGAGCUGAGGUAAUGAUUAAUAGGGAUAGUUGGGGGCAUUCGUAUUUAACUGUCAGAGGUGAAAUUCUUGAAUUUGUUAAAGACGGACUACUGCGAAAGCAUUUGCCAAGGAUGUUUUCAUUGA